CAGCAGCCGCGGUAAUACGUAGGUGGCAAGCGUUGUCCGGAAUUAUUGGGCGUAAAGGGCUCGCAGGCGGUUUCUUAAGUCUGAUGUGAAAGCCCCCGGCUCAACCGGGGAGGGUCAUUGGAAACUGGGAAACUUGAGCGCAUAAGAGGAGAGUGGAAUUCCACGUGUAGCGGUGAAAUGCGUAGAGAUGUGGAGGAACACCAGUGGCGAAGGCGACUCUCUGGUCUGUAACUGACGCUGAGGAGCGAAAGCGUGGGGAGCGAACAGGAUUAGAUACCCCCGUAGUCCCUGUCUCUUAUAC
This 301-nucleotide ribosomal RNA is filed under the name uncultured bacterium. RNAcentral describes it as "partial 16S ribosomal RNA". It matches the Rfam family "Bacterial small subunit ribosomal RNA", at positions 509 to 807 of the family's 1533-position model. The record is from RNAcentral.